This is a long non-coding RNA of Gallus gallus (chicken), 1467 nucleotides long. NCBI's taxonomy places the organism in Eukaryota, Metazoa, Chordata, Aves, Galliformes, Phasianidae. The record is from Ensembl.
UAAGGACCCAAUAUGAACACCUUUCACACAGUCAACAUGCUCCUUACACACUGAAGACUCAUCAUAGACUGGUCACAACCCUACACAGGUUCUGUUGUAUGGGUGUUUUUUUGUUUUGUGCAUCCUGGUUUCCAAGCACACCUCAUGUAGUGUUGCCCGUGCCUUACAUCUAACCAGGACAGGGCCGUAUGCGUUUGAUGGUAAACCUGCCAAGCUUCACAGCUCUGCAGUGGCUCAGCUCGGAGGGAUGAACAGGUCUGUCACACCUCUGCAGAGGUUUUUGGCUGGGAGAAGGAAGCUUGGGUUUUUAACAGCCUUCAGAAACACAGCAAGCUGGAGCUAAAACUAAAAUGCGCUGCCAUCCAGCACUCCAGGACUGUCUCUUAUCAUCCCAGAGCCUUUGUUUAUGACACGGAGACCAAUUGAUUUACAUUAUUUUGCUUUCAGCAAGCCUCUCAUGAAGAACACGGUGACAUGCUUAAGUGCCAAAGAAGAAGGAAGGCACGCUGAUGAAAAACAGACAUUGCAGCCAUUAGCAUCGAUCAGCAAUUGAUCAGUGUAUAUGUAAGCAAAGAGGUACAGGAUGAGUACUGUGUACAAAGAAACCUGAUUUAAUCUUGUUCAAAAGGUGUAUUUUCUGUGAAGAGGCACUUUGUUCAGGAAGCACAGACUUCAUUAGCACAAACCCAAGAAUCAUGUGAGGAGCUUUGUCUUGGAGAUUAUGGAGGCCCAACCUUUGGCAGACAGGAGGAUAUGAAAAUGUUUUUCAGAUGCUACAUUGGCCAAUCAAUAGCUUCAUGUCAAAGAUUCUCUGUGAGACCUCACCUGUGUCCUUUGCUUAAUUAGAUGUUUUUCAGGAGUAUCUAAGACCACACUGUUACAUCACUACAUCAGUAUGUUUAAUUUGAGAGAGUGAGCAGGACAGCUGAGAAAGUAUUUGUUCUUCUGAGAUGCUCAAGAUCCUGUAAGUGCUGGAUGACAAACCCUUCUGUUUAUUCAGUAACACUGAAUUUGUUAUCAGCAGGUUCUUCAAACUUAGGCAAACCUGAAUGAGCAUUCUCCUAAAUGAGAAACCCCACCCAGCUGUCCACUUGACAGAGGCUGGACUGUUCAACAAGUUUUACUGUUCUUCCUGAACACAGCAUUGUGGCUUUUAAGAGAUAAUCAGAAGCUUUGAAAAGAGCCAGUACACCAUUCCCACUGAACUGCAAAACUUAGGAGGACAAUUAUUUAGCUCUGCCAACAGACACCAGCCCAGUUCUUGUUCUACCCAAAGAUCCUCUAGCCAUUAAACUGACACUGCAAAGCUAUUCAAGAGUGAUAGCCUAUAUAGAGCAACGUCAGCCUGAGAUACUCAAAACUCACUUCAUUUGUGACCCAAGUCAUAUUUGCAUUGCCAUCUACAAAAGUAAAGACUAAAAAAUACCGUUAAACAGAGCAGAAAUUACCAGCUAUGACACAUUAUAU